This 298-nucleotide unclassified non-coding RNA is filed under the name Hevea brasiliensis (rubber tree). Lineage: Eukaryota; Viridiplantae; Streptophyta; Magnoliopsida; Malpighiales; Euphorbiaceae. The record is from RNAcentral.
CUUGUCCGCAGGAGACGUAGGUCUGAUCUGGAGGGUGAUGAUUUGGCUGAAUCAUCUGCUGCAAGGAGGCGCCACUCCCGCAUUUUAAGCCGUUGGGCUGCUCGGCAGGCACAGGAGAUGAUAACCACUAUUGAGAGGAGGAAUCGUGAGUCAGAAUUGAUGGCACUUGCCGGUUUGCACACAGUUUCCAUGCUUGAUUCCUCAUUUUUGAGGGAGUCGCAGUCACCCACGUCAAGGAGGCAAGGGGCAGUUGAACGGCCAAGUACUCAGGCAUCUGCAAUUCUACAAAUGUGGCGGG